UAUGUGCUCCAUAACAGCAUUCAACAACUGGUUGUCCAUGGACCACUGAUGGUCCGUGAGGUCAGAAAGGUUGGCAACCGCUGC
Long non-coding RNA from Myotis davidii, 84 nucleotides. RefSeq lists it as uncharacterized. The record is from RefSeq and is a predicted model, not a curated record. The transcript is spliced from 3 exons. NCBI's taxonomy places the organism in Eukaryota, Metazoa, Chordata, Mammalia, Chiroptera, Vespertilionidae.